This 788-nucleotide ribosomal RNA is filed under the name uncultured bacterium. RNAcentral describes it as "bacterial SSU rRNA". It matches the Rfam family "Bacterial small subunit ribosomal RNA", at positions 8 to 810 of the family's 1533-position model. The record is from RNAcentral.
AGAGUUUGAUCAUGGCUCAGGACGAACGCUGGCGGCACGCUUAAUACAUGCAAGUCGAACGUGAACCUCGGGGCUUGCCCUGGGGGGAAAGUGGCGAACGGGUGAGUAACACGUGAGAAACCUGCCCCGAAGACUGGGAUAACACCGGGAAACCGGUGCUAAUACCGGAUACCUUCACCGGACCGCAUGAUCUGGUGAAGAAAUGGAUUCUGCUUCGGGAUGGUCUCGCGGCCUAUCAGCUUGUUGGUGGGGUAACGGCCUACCAAGGCUUCGACGGGUAGCUGGUCUGAGAGGAUGUCCAGCCACACUGGGACUGAGACACGGCCCAGACUCCUACGGGAGGCAGCAGUAGGGAAUCUUGCGCAAUGGGCGAAAGCCUGACGCAGCGAUGCCGCGUGCGGGAUGAAGGCCUUCGGGUUGUAAACCGCUUUCAGCAGGGACGAAAUUGACGGUACCUGCAGAAGAAGCCCCGGCCAACUACGUGCCAGCAGCCGCGGUAAUACGUAGGGGGCGAGCGUUGUCCGGAUUUAUUGGGCGUAAAGAGCUCGUAGGCGGUUCGGCAAGUCGGAUGUGAAAUCUCCACGCUCAACGUGGAGGGGCCAUUCGAUACUGCCGUGACUCGAGUCCGGUAGGGGAGUGUGGAAUUCCCGGUGUAGCGGUGAAAUGCGCAGAGAUCGGGAGGAACACCCGUAGCGAAGGCGGCACUCUGGGCCGGUACUGACGCUGAGGAGCGAAAGCGUGGGGAGCGAACAGGAUUAGAUACCCUGGUAGUCCACGCCGUAAACGUU